AACUUGUAGCAAGCCAGCUACAGUACAGUCCCCUCUGCAGUUCUGACGGUAGGUGGGGCUUUUCUUGGGAAUACAGCUCACUGAAAUGUCCCAGAACCCCCUUGGUCUCUGCAGCCCUCUAUGUUCCUCCUCCUGGUCCUCCUGGCACUUCUCCCCAUUCGAGACUGUGCAGCUCUUUCUGGGCCAGUGUUACUCAAGCCAGUCGUUUGGAAAGAGAGAACUUCAACUGAGGAAAAUGCACCCACCAUACUGGCCUGAGGACAUUUUCUUGAUUGAUGAUGGAUGUGGGGGUGCCCAGCUCACCGUGGGUGGGGCCACCCCUGGCAGACGGCACCUGGAGCCAUAAGAGAGCAGACAGACUGAGCAAGCCAUUCAUGGGCAGGCAGUAAGCAGCACCCCUUCAUGAUGUCUGCUUAAGUUCUGGCCACCAGGGUCUUGCCCUGCUUGAGUUUCUACCCUGACUUCCCUUGGAGAAGGACUGUAACUUGGAAGAAUAAUAAACCUGUUCUUCCCC
Molecule: long non-coding RNA, 514 nt
Filed under: Rattus norvegicus (Norway rat)
Lineage: Eukaryota; Metazoa; Chordata; Mammalia; Rodentia; Muridae
Description: long non-coding RNA NONRATT002822
Source: RNAcentral